UGGAACCAAAUUUAAUCAAAUUGAAAUUCGACGACUUUGCCAUGCAGCCUGACGCGUUUAUUUGUUCAGUAAAUCACAUUAUCACAAUGAAAGCUGGUUUAUAUAGCUAAACAAAACCAUAGAGCUAUCGUUUGCUUAACUAAGCCCAACGAUCUGAACCGGAGUGCUCUUCAAAGUCUAAACCAUUUCGUCCCCUCCCGCCUUUCAAAAAUGGCUUUAUUUGCCCGCCGCCACUCUAAAACCUCCCUCAGAAGCCCUAUGGUAUCUCUCGACUCCUUUACCUCACAAGUGCUCGAAGAACACCUUUCUGUCUCUUCAUUUCCUGCGCGCUCUCCAAUGUUCCAUUUCAAGUCUCGAAAUUCCAAGCCUAAACUUAUUAUAGUGCUUCAAUUUCAAAAACUGCUCCUAACCCUUGGGUUUUUUUCUAGGGUUUUGUUUUUCUUUCUUCUUUUGUUUUUUCAUAACAAAAUGUCGUGGGAAGGGGAGAUUGUGCUUCGAGACGAGACAAAUGCUGGUCUCGUCGUUAGCGACCGCAUUGGGCGGGAGGUUGCGGCUCAGCUUGACCUCGAAGAGGCCCUUGAAGCUUCCAGAUAUGCUAGCCAUCCUUAUUCUACUCACCCUAGAGAGUGGCCUCCUUUCAUUGAGGUGGUGGACACCUGGGAGUUGCCCCCCCUGUACUAAUUGAAAGAUACAGUGCAGCCGGUGGAGAAGGGACGGCUUUAUGUGGAAUAUUUCCUGAGAUACGUAGGGCAUAGGCAUCGGUUGAUGAUUCCCUGUUUCUAUGGAGAUUUGAUAAGUGGUGAGACAUUCUUUACUUGUCUAGUGGGCUGUUUAAUGAUUCGGCAGCCCAGAAGCCUAAUUACCUGAGGUGAUACUAACUUUGGCCAACAAUAAUGAGCAUUCUGUUUGCCAUGGAAACUCUUUAUUCUGACUAAGUUUGGUUGUGGCUGUCUGUUAGUGCUUGAGUUGCUACCGUAGAUUGGAUUAUUCACGCAUGCUGCCAUUAUAUCUUUUUGUCAAUUUAUAACUGAAUACUGAUUAAUGGCAGGAACCAAUCUUGUAUAUUAGCUUCCUAAUAGGCAAUGACAACUUUAAAUUACUAACCGGCACAUUCUACCUGCAUAAUGAGACAUGGAGUUAAUUUUCAGGAUGAAAAUUUUUUAACUUAAAGGCCCAUCAAUGGUUAAAGUUGGUGUGUCAGUUAUGUUUAAUGUGUAUGGUGUUGGUUCUUGAUCAGACCUAAGAAAAAUUUGGAUCACGCGUUCACAUUUUCUUGAGAUCAUUUUUUCCUUGCUCAACUCAACUCAACUCAACCGAGCCUUUAUCCCAAAACUUUAUAAUAAUUCUGUUUUUAUCAUUGCCAAUUUCCCAUAAACUUAGGUUAUUCAUUUUUUUAAUGUCAUGUGAUAGUGAUAAAUUGAUAAUACAGUUUUCAGUUAAUAUUUCAAAAUAGUUGCCUUACAUAAAGUCAUCAACAAAACUAGGAUUCAUUCUCUUAAUGUAAUGUCAUAGACUAAUAGUUAUGGUUCAGUUUUCAGGUUAUAUUUCAAAAUAGUUGCCUACAUAAUGUCAUAAGCAGAACUAGGAUUACUGUCCUUUUCCUGUGAAUGUAUAAUGAUUUCCACACUCAGAAAAGAACUUCAUGAAUUCUGAUCUUGUGAAUAAUGGACUGUUGUCUGUAGGCAAUCUAGAUUGGUAAUGGACUUGUCGGAGUCGUCAUUUAUUGUAAUACACAUUGUAAAGUUCCUAAAGUACAACUACAAAAUAGUACUUACCUUACUUGCAUUGUUCUCUAUUUGUAUUACCCUCCAGCACCUAUUCCUCUCGUUUCCAUUUUGUGUUUUCAUUUCUUCAAACUGUUUGAUCUUGCCCUCUUUGUGCAAGUCUCUUUUAUUCUUUCUCUUUCUCUCACUUCCUGAGCAUGCCAUCACUGUCAUUGUUCUUGACUUGAUGUCAUAAUAAAAAUACUAAUUUCAUUAUUUGUUUUCUUUGUGCCUAAACAUUCUAUUUACGAUGAGGUAUGGACAAUGUUCUGAAUACAGUGGAGAGGGACAAGCCAUUUGUGUUGUAGGCCUUGCCAAAUCUAAACCUGGUGUUUUUGUCAAAGCUAUUCAGUAUCUUUUAGUUUUAGCCACUCCUGUUGAGGUAGUAACUCAAAAUUUCUUCCAAUUAUGUCUUGAAGCGAGAGCACAUGCUUGCAGCUCAUGUAUUGCUAAAACUGGCUGAGAGAUGCUCAACUGGUGCAAGAGAUGUUCCUAGUCUUGAACAGAGGUAUGUCUGGAGAUGCUUUACUUUGCAAAUUAUUCGGGUGAUGCUCAUAGUAGCAUUGUCAGAGAAACUUGGGCCAGACUAAUUGAUCAAGCUCUUUCAAGCGGUGGCUUUGCUGAAGCUUGUUCAGUAUUGAAGAGGGUUGGUUCCCACGUAUACCCUGGAGAUGGAGCUGUUUUACCAUUAGACCCUUUAUGUCUUCACCUCGAGAAGGCCGCUCUGGUAAACUUUAACUCCAUAGAUAUUUAUAUGCUUUGCUGUCUAACUUAAUCUUUUGACUUAUUGUCCCAUUUAUACUGUUUGACCAGAAUCAUCUAUUGUAUGGUUAACUAUACUUCUUUGUAUGUUUCAGCUUUAUUUUUUUCUUUUUGAAUUUUUGCAGGAGAGAAUGGAACCAGGGGUUGAAUCUGUUGGCGAUGAAGAUGUAGCAAGAGCUCUUCUUGCUGCUUGCAAGGGUGCAACCGAACCUGUCCUGAAUGCAUAUGAUCAGUUGUUGUCAAAUGGAGCUAUUUUGCCAUCUCCCAACCUUAGGUUACGCCUUCUCAGAUCAGUGCUAGUGGUACUCCGAGAAUGGGCUAUGUCUGUAUUUGCACAGCGGAUGGGUACUACGACAAGUGGAGCUUCCCUAAUAUUAGGUGGAACAUUCUCACAGGAGCAAACAACAGUCAUUAACCAGGGAAUUCGUGAUAAGAUCACAAGUGCUGCAAACAGGUACAUGACAGAAGUGAGGAGGUUGCCGCUUCCCCAGAGCAAAACUGAGGCUGUUUACCGAGGAUUUCGAGAACUUGAAGAGUCUCUGAUAAGUCCUUUUUCUUAUGAUCGAUUCUAAUUCUUUUAUGUUCCUUGGUGUUGUAUGAAAUGUUUCUUUUCACAAAUAAGAAGUCAAUAGUUUCAGUAUCUGUCAUGUAACAUUAUGCUUUGAAUUUUUUACCGUUCGUGUAAAAUUAACCCUUGUUUUAUAGAGAAGCAUUGGCAGAAUCCAAAUUCUGAUGCCAAGGUGCUCAUGAAAUCUUGGGUGAUUUGAUUCCUUCUCAUCUCUUAGUGAGACACACACAGUGGUCAUGUUCAACUUAGAGCGGUGAAAGGAGUGAUGAAGAAAAAUAGAAGACCUUAAAAUGACAUGAAGUGAAGUAGCAUUAAAAGAUUUAUGGUUUUUAAAUAUUGAUGUAGAAUUAGUUUCAAAUAUUAUUGAAUGAUAAAAAAAGAUUUAUAUAAUUGACUCUAACUAGCUCAGAAUUAAAAGUUUAGUUGUUGUUAUAUAUG
Molecule: unclassified non-coding RNA, 3531 nt
Filed under: Hevea brasiliensis (rubber tree)
Lineage: Eukaryota; Viridiplantae; Streptophyta; Magnoliopsida; Malpighiales; Euphorbiaceae
Source: RNAcentral